Molecule: transfer RNA, 70 nt
Filed under: Engaeus sericatus
Lineage: Eukaryota; Metazoa; Arthropoda; Malacostraca; Decapoda; Parastacidae
Also listed under: 1 other name
Description: tRNA-Val
Source: RNAcentral
CAAAGCAAAGCUAAGUUUAGUAUCUCACUUACAUUGAGAAGAGUAUUCGAGUGAAACCGAUUUGUUUUGA